GGAUAACCUACCCUUAGGACUGGGAUAACCCUGGGAAACUGGGGAUAAUACUAGAUAGGCAAUUUUUCCUGGAAUGGUUUUUUGUUUAAAUGUUUUUUCGCCUAAGGAUGGGUCUGCGGCCGAUUAGGUAGUUGGUUAGGUAACGGCUUACCAAGCCAUUGAUCGGUACGGGUUGUGAGAGCAAGAGCCCGGAGAUGGAACCUGAGACAAGGUUCCAGGCCCUACGGGGUGCAGCAGGCGCGAAACCUCCGCAAUGUGAGAAAUCGCGACGGGGGGAUCCCAAGUGCCAUUCUUAACGGGAUGGCUUUUCAUUAGUGUAAAGAGCUUUUGGAAUAAGAGCUGGGCAAGACCGGUGCCAGCCGCCGCGGUAACACCGGCAGCUCUAGUGGUAACAAUUUUUAUUGGGCCUAAAGCGUCCGUAGCCGGUUUAAUAAGUCUCUGGUGAAAUCCUGCAGCUUAACUGUGGGAAUUGCUGGAGAUACUAUUAGACUUGAGACCGGGAGAGGUUAGAGGUACUCCCAGGGUAGAGGUGAAAUUCUGUAAUCCUGGGAGGACCGCCUGUUGCGAAGGCGUCUAACUGGAAUGGUUCUGACGGUGAGGGACGAAAGUUAGGGGCGCG
This 619-nucleotide ribosomal RNA is filed under the name uncultured archaeon. RNAcentral describes it as "bacterial SSU rRNA". It matches the Rfam family "Archaeal small subunit ribosomal RNA", at positions 102 to 721 of the family's 1478-position model. The record is from RNAcentral.